Molecule: non-coding RNA, 780 nt
Organism: Nicotiana tabacum (common tobacco)
Lineage: Eukaryota; Viridiplantae; Streptophyta; Magnoliopsida; Solanales; Solanaceae
Source: RefSeq, a predicted model, not a curated record
UUCCUUAAAAAAAAAAAAAGGUGACCUUAUCUUCUUUUUCAGGAGACCUUUCAAACCCUUCUUCUUCUUCAGCACAUUCCCUAAUCCCCCCAUGACCUAGAGCCGCCACCAGUCUUCCUUCCCCCGCCAAAAACUCGCUGGUAAAAGAGCCGCCGACCAACUCCUCCCAUCUCGAGCCGCCUCCACGACCCCGAUCAUCUUCUGCUGCCCAGUGACUCAAUUGUUUUCUUUAAGCACCAUGAACCUCUAAGCUUUGCCAUCCAUGGACAUAUCAAAACCAGUCACAAAACCAAUUUACAACACCAUUUCGGAUCAAGAGUUCAACGAUUUCAAAGUUAUUGCUGUCCGAAUCUGAGUCAAGUUCGAUUUUCGAUUUUUUGAGGUGUCCCCUUUGCGGCUCUUGGUCAAUAGUGUUCCUGGUUCAGUUAAGGUUCAGUCUAGCUUUCGUCGCUCGCUUUUCAGUCUUGUGCUACCAAACAAUUGAGUUUAAAGGUAUGGAUUCAUUUACCAAAGCUCGAGCAUGAUAGAUACCCCAAGAUCAUUCCAGUCAGGACCGUCGCAUUAAGGAGCUUGUUUGAGGCGACUUUUUAUGUUUUGAGUCUGUCAUUCAUGUUAUCUUUUACUUUCUAGUAUUUUCCAAUAGUAUUGAGUCUUUUAUCUGGUGUCAGUUUGUCAUAAUUUAGUUGGGUUUGUCGAAUCUUUUGUUAUCAUACUUCCUAUUAUGUAUUUGAAAACUAAAAAAAGUUAUAAAUAAAAAAUCCAAAAAGAUUUUUAUUUCUA